This 489-nucleotide ribosomal RNA is filed under the name uncultured bacterium. Its description in RNAcentral is "bacterial SSU rRNA". It matches the Rfam family "Bacterial small subunit ribosomal RNA", at positions 28 to 526 of the family's 1533-position model. The record is from RNAcentral.
GACGAACGCUGGCGGCGUGCUUAACACAUGCAAGUCGAACGGUGACGAAUGGUGCUUGCACUGUUCUGAUCAGUGGCGAACGGGUGAGUAACACGUGAGUAACCUGCCCCAGACUCUGGAAUAACCCCGGGAAACCGGAGCUAAUACCGGAUAUGACAUCAGAUCGCAUGGUCAUGGUGUGGAAAGUUUUUCGGUCUGGGAUGGACUCGCGGCCUAUCAGCUUGUUGGUGAGGUAAUGGCUCACCAAGGCGACGACGGGUAGCCGGCCUGAGAGGGCGACCGGCCACACUGGGACUGAGACACGGCCCAGACUCCUACGGGAGGCAGCAGUGGGGAAUAUUGCACAAUGGGCGAAAGCCUGAUGCAGCGACGCCGCGUGAGGGAUGAAGGCCUUCGGGUUGUAAACCUCUUUCAGUAGGGAAGAAGCGAAAGUGACGGUACCUACAGAAGAAGCACCGGCUAACUACGUGCCAGCCGCCGCCGUAACAC